RNAcentral lists this ribosomal RNA (253 nucleotides) under uncultured bacterium. RNAcentral's name for it is "partial 16S ribosomal RNA". It matches the Rfam family "Bacterial small subunit ribosomal RNA", at positions 524 to 776 of the family's 1533-position model. The record is from RNAcentral.
UACAGAGGGUGCGAGCGUUAAUCGGAAUUACUGGGCGUAAAGGGCUCGUAGGUGGCCAACUAAGUCAGACGUGAAAUCCCCAGGCUCAACUUGGGAACUGCGUCUGAUACUGGAUGGCUUGAAUUCGGGAGAGGGAUGCAGAAUUCCAGGUGUAGCGGUGAAAUGCGUAGAUAUCUGGAGGAAUACCGGUGGCGAAGGCGGCAUCCUGGACCGAGAUUGACACUGAUGAGCGAAAGCUAGGGGAGCAAACGGG